GCAGGUGAAGGUGCUCUGACUGCAACAUCUGUAACCCCACUGAUCACCAAAGUUGAUUUAGUUGAUCUGGUUAGUGAGGCAGGUGUUUCCUUCUUCCCUCACAGCUCCCCAAGCUGUACACCCAAUCACAAAGGAUGACUAUCCUAGGUAGAAAAGGACUGUUUCCUUCUAUACCUAGUAGCCAUGCUCCCCUGCUAGAACCUCCAAACAAGCUCAAGAAUACUUGCCCAAAGUCACAUAAUAGGAAGAACAUGGUCUUGAAUCCAGGACAUUGCUAAUAAUCUUUCCACAUUGCCAAGCUUUCUGUCCACUAGGGCAAGAGCAUUGG
Unclassified non-coding RNA from Cavia porcellus (domestic guinea pig), 328 nucleotides. Its record names the gene 7SK. It matches the Rfam family "7SK RNA". Rfam says of the family: 7SK was discovered as an abundant small nuclear RNA in the mid-70s but a possible function has only recently been suggested. Lineage: Eukaryota; Metazoa; Chordata; Mammalia; Rodentia; Caviidae. The record is from Ensembl.